GCACUCUCGUAGCCGCUGCGGCCACGUGGAACCUGAGGUAGUGUUGCACAGUUGCGCGACGGAGCCAUCGAGCGCUCGGCCGCGCUGGCGCACCCUCGUAGCCGCUGCGGAAACCUGCGACUUGAGGUAGUGUUGCACAGUUGCGCGACGGAGCCAUCGAGCGCUCGGCCGCGCUGGCGCACCCUCGUAGCCGCUGCGGAAACCUGCGACUUGAGGUAGUGUUGCACAGUUGCGCGACGGAGCCAUCGAGCGCUCGGCCGCGCUGGCGCACCCUCGUAGCCGCUGCGGAAACCUGCGACUUGAGGUAGUGUUGCACAGUUGCACGUCUGAAGCGACGAGUGUUCCGCCGCGCUGGCGCACUCUCGUAGCCGC
RNAcentral lists this long non-coding RNA (372 nucleotides) under Dermacentor andersoni. Its description in RNAcentral is "uncharacterized LOC126527413". The record is from RNAcentral. Lineage: Eukaryota; Metazoa; Arthropoda; Arachnida; Ixodida; Ixodidae.